This 253-nucleotide ribosomal RNA is filed under the name uncultured bacterium. RNAcentral's name for it is "partial 16S ribosomal RNA". It matches the Rfam family "Bacterial small subunit ribosomal RNA", at positions 524 to 776 of the family's 1533-position model. The record is from RNAcentral.
UACGAAGGGGGCGAGCGUUGUUCGGAAUUACUGGGCGUAAAGCGUGCGUAGACGGUAGCGUAAGUCAGAUGUGAAAGCCCCGGGCUCAACCUGGGAAUUGCAUUUGAGACUGCUCUGCUCGGGUGCGGAAGAGGGAAGCGGAAUUUCCGGUGUAGCGGUGAAAUGCGUAGAUAUCGGAAGGAACACCAGUGGCGAAAGCGGCUUCCUGGUCCGACACCGACGUUCAGGCACGAAAGCGUGGGGAGCAAACAGG